This 1037-nucleotide unclassified non-coding RNA is filed under the name Daphnia pulex (common water flea). RNAcentral's name for it is "uncharacterized LOC124207159, transcript variant X1". The record is from RNAcentral. Lineage: Eukaryota; Metazoa; Arthropoda; Branchiopoda; Diplostraca; Daphniidae.
GCAAGACACUUCUGUACUACACACUGCACUUUGAUGAAUCCAAAAUCCAACUGCUGAACACAAGUUGAGGAAGUGAAGGUCGCUAUUAUUUAUACUAUGGUACUUCAGAAUUCAUUUGAAUGGUUUAGCUUCAGAAGUAGACACCACCAAACCCAUCCUUUUCAAGAUGAUGUGAAAUGUAUAAUUAAGGGUUGAUUGAAUAUACAUGUAAUGCUCACCAAGUUGCAUGCAAAUAACGUGAAACGUUGAUUGGGGUGCUGUGUGUCCGAUCAAGAAAAAGAUUUAAAAAAUGGCGAGAAAAGUCAAACGAAAACGUGUGGAGAAUAAGUUAAGUGUGGAACUGGAAAUCGGCGUCACACUAUUUGGGUGCCUCUCCACCCUGGGUGUUCCCCCAAAGAACUCUUGCUGUUUCAUCAUCCUCCAAACAACUUUGCGAUUGCUGGAGUUUUACAUAUAUAAUUGGUUCGCUUCUUUUCCCGUCUACUUGCUGGUACGUUUGGUGACUUGCCCAUACUUUGGGAUCUCGCAGUAUAAAAGGUCUUCGACUGAUCUCCAAUCGGCAUCUUAGUACUUGAGCAAUCGUUAAACAAUCAACAGCAACAUGAGUCGUCCUAUCCUGCUGAGCCUUUGUGUCCUGUUGGCCAUUUUGACUUUGACCAGCGCUGUUCCAGCCAACCGUCGUGAACGUGAUGUUGAAAUCGACAAACUCUUUGCUGAGAUGUUUCCAUCUUCUGCCACCACCCAAGCCCCCGUCGAGAUAGGAUUGCUCCUUGGCCAAAUGGAAACCGAAUUCCAAAACCCUGGCUUCAAUGGUGACUUGGACAAGUACAACAACUUCGGCCCAGCUGGAUUUCUAAGAAUCGGACCAGUAUACUCCGGCGGCCCUUUCAAAAGAUGGUUUUAUUAGUUGCACUAAUUCAACGAUUUUGACAGUGUAACGCUAACCGUAGUUUUCCUGACAUUACAUUAACGUGGAACAACUUUGUAAGUUCCAUAAUGAGAUUUUUACGGAAUAAACAUUUUUUUUCCCCGCAUAA